UUUCUGUGGCAGCCCAAACUUAAUUCAGAAUGAGGGACCUUGAACAUCAGGCUUCCAGCGAUUUGACCAAAAACCUCAGUCAACCACCAACCUUAGCCAUCGAUACUAUUGAUCUCUCCAACCGGGCAAGUCACAUUCACUCUCUUUGUUACAGCUCCUUGCUCUAUACCCUGAUGCUACAGUAUGUGAAAUGACUAGUGCAGGGACCUCUUCCUUCUCUCUGGCUCGUAUCUUUUAGCAACCCUGAGGUCUGCAACGAGGUCGUAAGAAUUCUGACGAGCAUUUCCCAGAGCUUAACCUUCCAUCCUUACUCCAAGCUGUGCUGUUCCUCUAAUGUGGUGGUGAACAUCUUGUCGAGGCUGCUUCAGGCCCUGUGGCCCUACCAGAUGAAAAGGCCCCUGUGACUGGCCCUGAGUGAUCUGGCUGUCACCAUGGUGAAGGCAGUGGUGGAGAACUUCUAACAGGUCUGAAGGCCCUUCCUGCACCUCAGGUCUAUUACUCCCGUUCCACUGGUGUCAGGAUGGUCCACUCACUCAACCAUAAGAUCCAGCGCCUAGGCAGCCCAGAGAACCUGAAGAGGACUCUUUUCAUCCAAAGUCUCUCUCUGAUCAGCACCGACAUUGUAGCUGUGACCACUAAAGUCCAGAGACUGUUUGAAGCGCCCACUGAUUAUAUUACAUUCAGCUCUAUUCAUGGUUGGUUAUCAGAGGCCAAAGCAGUGGCCAAUUGGAACGAGGUUCCUCCAAAGUGCCCUGACCAGCUGGUGAUCCCAUCAGAGCUCCUGAGGACCAGCUUUGGUCUGACAACCAUCCUAAUCUAUGGUGGGACACUGGAGAAAGGCAUCAUCAACCUUCAUGACCGGCCCCUCACAGAUGACAUCAUCAACCAGCUUUUGCUGUGUGGGGGGUCAGUUAUGAAGAAGAAGCGGAAAGCCAACUGGCAUCUGGGCUGGGACCAGAUCCUUGAGAUGACAAACAUCCAUACCGACCUUCACUAUGGUGGCACAGAGAAGAUCUUAAAGUUUGCCACAACUUACAGCACCACCAUGCUAACGAGGCACAUGGUUCAUCUUGUGGUUGAAGAAAUUAAGAAGGCCAAGGACUCUUCGAACAACAAAAAAGUUGGUAAUGAUGAAUACCAUGGAGGUGAGCUUGGUCAUGUACACUGUAUGUAUGCCCGGCACUGCGCCCUCCACCAGGCUUUGCCCCCGGCACGGGCCGUUCUGAAGCAAAUUUUCGUCCGAUUCCUGGAGAAGCUCUCUCCUCCUGCACCAAACGACAAAGUGUCAACGUCCUUCCCUUUGGCCAAGCAGUUCUGCACGCUGGUUCAGACAGUCAUUGACAGAUCCCACAGUCAUUGACAGAUCCACAGAGCUGGAGAAGUGUACUGACUCUGACAGUAAGAGCUACUGGGAGUACCUGAAGUGUGUCAACUAUCACCCACUGGGCCUCCCGGGUGGCGCAGUGGUCUAGGGCACUGCAUCGCAGUGCUAACUGCGCCACCAGAGUCUCUGGGUUCGCGCCCAGGCUCUGUCGCAGCCGGCCGCGACCGGGAGGUCCGUGGGGCGACGCACAAUUGGCAUAGCGUCGUCCGGGGUAGGGAGGGUUUGGCCGGUAGGGAUAUCCUUGUCUCAUCGCGCUCCAGCGACUCCUGUGGCGGGCCGGGCGCAGUGCGCGCCAACCAAGGGGGCCAGGUACACGGUGUUUCCUCCGACACAUUGGUGCGGCUGGCUUCCGGGUAGUACGGCUGGUUGGGUUGUGCUUCGGAGGACGCAUGGCUUUCGACCUUCGUCUCUCCCGAGCCCGUACGGGAGUUGUAGCGAUGAGACAAGGUAGUAAUUACUAGCGAUUGGAUACCAUGAAAAUUGGGGAGAAAAUGGGAUAAAAAAAAAAUAAUAAAAACUAUCACCCACUCCAGUGGUCUGGGGAUUGAAGCCUUCUCUGGGGAUGAGGAGAGAUGUUUAAUGGUGGCCAACACGAUGGUCGAGAAACGUCUGGCUGACAUCGAGCCCCAGCUGUGACACUUUGAUCUGAACCCAUCCAGUAAGAGACAGAAGGAGAGCAAGGUGAUUGAAUCGAACACCAGCUCCAAAGACCAUUGAGUCUGUUGUGCGCGUGAAUACUCCUGUGUCAACUAACCUGUUGACAACACCACCUGAGACUCCUGGGUCAACUCCGCUGAGCACGGCCUCUAUACACUGAGAAAUGAAUGAGGUAACAGCUGACCUCCAGUCAGAUCAAAUGACUGCUGCUCCAGUCACCUGCCAGUGGAAUGCUCCUGCUCUCGCCAUCCAUCAGCCACUCUUCUCCCACAGCAGGCAUGGCUGAGGCCGGGGCAGCACAAUACAACACAGAGCCUCACUGACUGGUGGUGUGACUUCUACUAACAGAGUCACUGACAUGGUCUCCCCUGCUAGCUACCUGAUUAUUCCAGACCACUUCCUCAGACUUCAAAUCUUCCCUGUGUCCUCUUGUGCUCCCAGGCUUUUAGCAGAUUACAGACUCCAUGAAAUGAGGACCUCUUCCUAAAUAUUUGGUCAAAUUAUUAAUUUACUCCACUCUCCGCUAAAUGGGUUGUCCCUCCCCUGGAGCCUCUGUCACUGAAAUAUGGAUGUCGUUUGAAGCACUGUAGCUGGCCCCAACACCGCCGACGCAGAGGUCAUGCACGUAGUGAGCUUUUCAUUCGGCACUACUUUGCAGUUGCCAGGCAGGGUUUUUCAAGCCCGGCCCUGGGGACUAGAUGAUGACUAAUGGGGCCAUGUUAAAGUGACCAGAAGAGGCAGCUGGCGAGGAUGAGAAGUAGUCAGGCCCUACACAUUAUCAACCAAUCUCUGCUGAGCCAGACUAGGCGGGGGUGACUGGAAGGGACAAACCCACAGGAAAUACAUCAUCAUUGACUGACCCUGGUCACGUCCACGACAGCGGCUCGCGCCUUAUAUGGACAUGUUGGAGACGUGAUAUUGAUUGGUGAAUAAUCGGUGGUGUAAAAUAGAUUCUUACAAUGUAUUUUGAUUGUUAUGUUCACUGAAUUUCCAUGCAGACUUCAAUGUAGCAAAAAUGUAGUAAAAAUGAAAACCUAUGACGUCAAAAUGGACUCCAAGUCUCUAUUUCCAUAAGUAUUACUGUUGAUUUCAAUAUGCUAUUGGGGAUUGGGAGCCUCCAGAUUGAACAGAGAAGCAGGGGUUUUCAUUUGCCACAAUUGAUGUUGCUAGGUAGAGCAAACCUGCCCCCACGUUUUAUCUACAAUGUUUAAUAUACAGCCAGCCACUUUUCCAGCUGUGGCUCUGUCCCCCUGAGUGCUGAUUUUGUUUUCCCCUCCUGCUUGCCUUAUUGAACCCCCUGUUGUCAUCGCUGACAGGCAGAUCUAAGUCAUUAGUAAUUGUUUUGUGGUUCCCUCUGCCGAUUAUUAUGCUUCCCUGACAAUAAUUUCUGUGAGUGAUUUCAACACUUGCUCCCACUAGGUAAGCCAUCAAGGCUAAUUGCAACUUGGGGAGCCUGGUUGCUCUCCCUCUCUUAGGACUUACUGGUGGUUUCCUAUGGGUUUGGUGUUGUGGCUUUGUGGGAUGUUUCAUUAAGGGCAUUACCAUGGUAUCUCCCUUUUGUAAUGAUUGUUCUGAUGGACAUAUUUCUAAACUAUAUAUACAAAAGUAUGUGGACACCCCUUGACAUUAGUGGAUUUGGCUAUUUCAGCCACAUCCGUUGCUGACAGGUGUAUAAAAUCGAGCACACAGCCAUGCAAUAUCCAUAGACAAACAUUGGCAGUAGAAUAGCCAUACCAAAGAGCUGUGCUUGUGAUUCUGACAAUGAACAAAGCGAGGUCCGUCCAGAAAUGGUUUGUCGAGGUUGGUGUGGAAGAACUCAACUGGCCUGCACAGAGCCCUGACCUCAACUCCAUCGAACACUAAUGCUCUUAUGGCUGAAUGGAAGCAAGUCCCCGCAGCAAUGUUCCAACAUCUAGUGGAAAGCCUUUCCAGAAGAGUGGAGGCUGUUAUAGCAGCAAAGAGGGGACCAAACUCUAUAUUAAUGCCCAUGAUUUUGGAAUGAGAUGUCCGACGAGUAGGUGUCCACAUACUUUUGAUCAUGUAGUUUAUCUUUAUAUAUUUACAUACAACU
Salvelinus fontinalis (brook trout) is the source of this 4112-nucleotide RNA transcript. RefSeq lists it as uncharacterized. The transcript has 6 exons. Lineage: Eukaryota; Metazoa; Chordata; Actinopteri; Salmoniformes; Salmonidae. The record is from RefSeq and is a predicted model, not a curated record.